RNAcentral lists this long non-coding RNA (350 nucleotides) under Malus domestica (apple). RNAcentral's name for it is "long non-coding RNA (MDOM_LNC020576)". The record is from RNAcentral. Lineage: Eukaryota; Viridiplantae; Streptophyta; Magnoliopsida; Rosales; Rosaceae.
UUCUAUUUGUGCCCGAAUACCAAAGCUUAAACCCUGAGUUUUCUAGAUCCUUUGCCUUAAGACCAACCCACUUAGUUUCUUGUAGGCACAUAAUAUUUAUCCUUCUCCUCACCAUAACUUCCACUACUUCCAUAGAUUUUCCCGUUAAGGUUCCUAUAUUCCACGUUCCUAAACGCAUUCUACUCUCUUGAACUCUACCCUUCUGUCCUAACUUCUUCACCAUCCCCCGUCUAAUAGGAUCAAAGUACUUCUUUUGUGUGUCCUGUGUAAAGUUGAUAGGAGCAUAUGCUCCCAAACAACUUUGAGUGGAGUCGUUCAAAAAGAUGUUUCUAUGGCCCCCUUGCUCAUUU